CAGAUGGUCAGCGUCGUCUGAUCACAGAAGCUGAAGGCCAUGAUUCAGCCAACAAGCCCAGAUCCGUGUUCUGCCGGCACAACGGGAGGGCAUCAGAUAGCCACAAUCUAAUUCUCUCCCCUGGUGGCGUCUGGAAAUCUUGUCUUUCAGCGAAACAACCAAUCAGAGACCAUUGGCAGCUGACGCCUGGCAGGGUGGAUUCGCCCUCCGUGCACGAAGAUACCCCCGAGUUUGGGCAAAUGUCGCUCGCAUUCUGUCGGGGAUGGAGGUCAAUUGUGUCACUCUGAAGGUUUCUCUAGGCUACCCCUCGGUACUUUGCUAGGCUUACGCACGCUCACAGAGAGAGAGAAAGAGGGAGAGAGAGGGGAGAAGGAGGGGAAGGAAAAAGGAAAGCUAUCUUCUAGCUGAGAAUCAAGCAAUGAAAACGUGAUUACAGCUGCUUGUUAUAACAGUUUGUAACAAUGCUGGUAGCGAAGCAGUAUCGCUGUACACACUCAGCAACAUGUGUAUGCACAAAAGGUCAUUUAAGUGAGGAUGCAAUAUUCUUAGUAUUCCGACACCUUAAUUGGAACCCUAGGUUGAUUGCAAAAAUGUCUUGUGUCUGCAAAUGGUUUGAUGAAAUUGCAAAGAGAGUGUUGUGGAAAGAGUUCUGCCGAACCCGAGCCCCUAAGAUGAUGCUAGACUUGCAGUCUAGUGGCAGUCAUAAUGUUGAUGGGAACUGGAAAGCACUUGGGAAGCUUCUCAUUUAUUGUUCAGGGUGCAGCAAAGGUGGUCUGUCUAACAGCAUUGAUAUCCCGGGUCAUUUUGUCUACCGCACACGAUUCUCCAGGACAUCAGGGAAAAGUUUUCUUCUUCCACAAUGCAGGUCAGAUGUGCUGUAUGUAUCAGACCCUUGUGAGCAUCUUGAUCAAGGAGAGGAGGGUGAUGUUGGGUUUUUUCGUGGUGUCUUCAAAUCAUUUUCCAUUUCAAGAGUUAGGAAGAUGCUAAUUGACAAGGAUGCCAAGCUCCAUGCCACUGAGGUUUGUCCAUAUUGUAAGGCAAAGUUGUGGAGCAUGCUACAGGCAAAGAUGAUACCCCAAAGUGCAUGUCACAGGUUGGGUGCUUAUGAUGAUGGCAUAGAGUAUUAUGUGUGUCUUAAUGGGCAUAUGCUUGGGAUCUGCACUCUCUUACCCCUAUCUGAUUCUGAGGAGGCAUCUGAACUGGAGUGAUUUCUUGUUGUUUCAUUUAGGUUGCGAUGAUCUAGGACUCUCAUAUAACCUUCUCUACAUGUUUUAAUACUACCAGGAUGGAAGGACCCAUCAUUUUCUUUUCUGAACAGAGAGAUGGAUUCGAGCAGGAAGAGAUACACUCCAGUGUUCAAGCUUGGAGACUUACGCUUGCUUGUGGUGGUUUAUUUGGUGGCAGCUCUUCAAGACUUAUAAAGAGGUGAGGGGCAAGCAGUUUGGGAUGUGCUUUCCCAUUCUAGUCCUGUUUGCACACAGGUAAGGAUCUCCCUUUAUUCACCUUUGUGUCCCAGCUCUAGGUUUGUUUCUGUAUGCUGUUGGCUUUUGAGCUUGGCUAAAAGAUUGUAAUUGUGGAAAUGAAUGUGCUAUUUCUUUUCUUUAGGCCUUCUCAUGCUACUUUAAGAAGGUCAUACUAGGAGGUUUGCCUGCUUAAAAGAAAUGUGCCCCUUUUACUUUGCAGCUCUUAGUGCUGUGCAUA
Molecule: non-coding RNA, 1701 nt
Organism: Elaeis guineensis (African oil palm)
Lineage: Eukaryota; Viridiplantae; Streptophyta; Magnoliopsida; Arecales; Arecaceae
Source: RefSeq, a predicted model, not a curated record